AAAUACUCUGAAGCCCAGUGCAGCUCAUGGGAAUAAAUUUCAGAGUUUGCCAGAUCCGGCCCGGUGCCUGGGUUCCAGGAGGACACGCUGCAGUUGGCCUUCAUCGACUUGAGACAACUUUUGGAUCUUUUCAUCCAGUGGGAUUGGUCAACCUACCUUGCUGACUAUGGUCAGCCCAACUGCAAGUACCUCCGGGUAAACCCAGUGACUGCUCUGACCCUGCUUGAGAAGAUGAAGGAUACUAGCCGUAAGAACAACAUGUUUGCACAGUUUCGGAAAAAUGAGCGAGACAAGCAGAAACUCAUUGACACUGUGGCCAAGCAGCUCCGAGGACUCAUCAGCAGCCACCACUCAUGAAGGGUGACCCCGGACUCACAGAGGCGACCUGCUGCAGCCCCCUAGUCUGGGAUCCAGCCCCAGCUGACCCUGCAUUUGUGCAUUCUUCUUCAAAGAGAGCAUAUGUAUUUUUUUAUUAACCCCUGUGCAGUAUUCACAUAACAUUUCCCUAUAGUAAAAGAGGCACAAGAAUAAGCAAGUACAUGAGAUGUUGCUAGGCUGG
RNAcentral lists this small RNA (559 nucleotides) under Pongo abelii (Sumatran orangutan). Its description in RNAcentral is "processed transcript". The record is from RNAcentral. Lineage: Eukaryota; Metazoa; Chordata; Mammalia; Primates; Hominidae.